AUCAGAUCUGGGUUACUGCUAGAAACUGGUACACUGUCACCUUAGAAGGUAGCUUUCUGUGUCAACAACAUGGAAGACUCAAAAGAAAAACCGAGCUGAUGUAGCAGGAUGUAAAAGCUUAAAAGAGUUAAUCUCAACAAAAUAAUCACUUGUAAGGAUUCCCCUCCAGAGCGCUGUCAUAUGACUGCUACAUUCCCCUAGGCAGUAUGCCACAGGCCCCACGUCUCAUGGGUGGUGAAUGUGUGUGACCGAGAUAACCCACAGAAAUGACUCAGCUGCAAUGGAACCAUGACCCCACUGGAUCCGUAUCAGAACACCCGACUUCAGUUUCACCUGUGACAGUGGCCUCUCUGUAGCAGUUCUGCACUUGGUGGGGGAAAAAUUAACCCGGCCAUACCAGUUCAUCUGCAAGUCCUGCUGUGGUCCAAGGGAAGGAGAUGGCUGUGCAGAAGUCACCAAACUGCAUCUUCUGUCCAAGGAAGCAAACGGCAUGCGGCCCUCUCAGUAAGAAGGUGGCUGCCUCAUCCACCAUGCAAGAUACGUGUAUGUCUACUGCCCUUACUCAAGGUUUUGAAAGGUGCUGCGGAGGAAGACACAGUACUCUCAGCCUAAGUAGGCACGUGUUCCGAGCCACAGAACAGCGAUGAUAACGGGUUCCUCGUUCUAUUUCACUGUGUGGAAGCAUGGAGGACGGAUACUGUAACUCAUGCAGUAAAAUGCUGUCUGGCUGAAAGCACCGGUGCAUUUUGAAGAGGAAAGAGAAUCUUGCAGCAAAGGGCCAGGGCCGGCACCCAGGAGAUCUGGUUUUAUUUCUCAGUUCUGACACGGGCUUCCUGUAUGACCUCAGCAGAGUCAUGUAAUUGCUUGGUGCCUCAGUCCAUCAUCUCCUUAAUAGGGUUACUACUUACUUAUUUCCUUUCUCCCGCCCUGGCCUGUCUUACUUAGGCUGCAAUUCUGGCAGGGAGUAGAGCAUUUCUGACCACGUGCGGGGCCUUCACCUAGCACAGUGAGGCAUAAUGGCAGUGCCUGUGCAGCAAUGCAGUGUCAAUUAAAUAAAUAAAUGAAGAUGAUAAUAUCAUUUCGGACUAGAACUUCAGCUUGUAACCCAGCCCAAGGUCAAAGCAUGGUAUGGAACCGUGCGACGUGGAACCUUGGGACCUGAGGAAAUGCUGCCCCCGAGCAUGGACAGGUUUGGGGAAGGCUUUGGUGUUGGUGACAGCCAGCAGCUGGCCUGCUUGGGCUCCUCGUGGUGGUUGAGGAAGCCUCAUCACUCACAGCCUUGCGUGGUCUUUGGUCGUAACUUUGAUCUAGAGAAUAAUUCUGUGUGGAAACGCUUCAGAAGCACACCUGCUUUAACCCGAGUCAACACGUUUUGUACUGAAUCCAGGCCGUGGCUGAGGUUGACAUAGAGCUGGGCAAGAGCUGAUAGGCGCACACUGCUACACGGUGCUUUGUAAGGACAUUCGUGUUGAGAGUGCUGUGUUCCCUGUUUGUGGGUCACCCCUUUACCCAACCUGUCAUUAGCGACAUCCUCAAGCCUCAGAGGCCCUUCUGUCAGGGGCGGAGAACACAGUGGGGUGAUGGCCUUCACGUGGGCAUUGGCUGAGUGCUCUCCACCCUGCUGGCUGAGCGCAGUGCCAAAAGCAGGCCAGGUAAACUGGACUCCGGAGGUAAUACUGGCAAGAAUAACUUGCACGCACGUUUACAGCCCAGUUAGGAGGUGCGCUGUUGCUCCACUGCGACAAGCAGAGCUAUCUGCAGGUGGGAUUAGGCAGCAAGUCGGGCGAACGCGACAAAAAC
Long non-coding RNA from Gallus gallus (chicken), 1800 nucleotides. The record is from Ensembl. NCBI's taxonomy places the organism in Eukaryota, Metazoa, Chordata, Aves, Galliformes, Phasianidae.